Molecule: long non-coding RNA, 1457 nt
Filed under: Equus caballus (horse)
Lineage: Eukaryota; Metazoa; Chordata; Mammalia; Perissodactyla; Equidae
Description: lncRNA (ENSECAG00000044447.1)
Source: RNAcentral
CAGGGAGCCAUCCUGGUCCCACGAGCUGAUCAGCGUCUGUAAAUAUUGAGAUUUGAUAAAGUGAGCGGUGCUCCGGCAGCAGAUGGCUGGGGAUGGUCUGUUGACACCGCUGCGAUGACUCGCGCAUGAAGAUUUUCCUCCCCGGGCCUCCUCUGGGAGCCGCGGGAGGACCCAGGCCCCUCUGUAGCUAUUUGCCUCCUAAUUGAAAAUCCUUAUUCCCAGAUGGAGCCAAAUGUGCUGCUCCAGGCAUCGCUCGUGCUGCCUGACUGUUGAUACACGGAGCAGUUAAAGCAGAUGUGCUGUCUGCACCUUCCGUGUGGGGCGUGGAGCUGAAAGCUGCUCCCUCGAAACAGCAUACAGAAGGAGACCUGAAGGGAGCAAAACUGUUGGCCUCACCUGAUAUCAACCACAGACGGUUUCAGAUAGAGAGGGAGGCAUGGUUAUUUACAUCAAGAGCUUGGCCUUCCUCCCCGUCCCCAUUUUUCACCAACCAUGGAAACGAUUUGAGAGCCAGCCUUUGGGACAAGCCACUUUUCUGAAAUAAGGGGCCCCAGAAAGAGGCUCCCCUGAGCUCACAUUUUCCCAGCAGAGCUGCUUCUGGAACAUGCCGGAGAUGCUGGCAGGCAGCAAAAACACAGAGCUUUGGACUUCUCACUGGCAGAAAUCCCGGAAGAAACAGCCAUGCUGAGACUCCUGUCUGUCUGGUCAUCAUGAGUUUGAGGCUUCCGCCAACUCCUUCGCCCAAAUAUUCCGUAACCUUUAAGUCAAGUGCUGUCUUCUGAAUGUCUGUGUGCCCCCAAAUGCACAUGCUGAAACCUAGCCCCCAGUGGGACAGUAUUGGGAGGUGGGGCCUCUGGGAGGUGGACAUGUCCUGAGGGUGGAGCCCUCACAAUGGGAUUACUGCCUUAGAAAGAGAUCCCUCGCCCUUCUGCAACCCCAAAGAAGUCCUCACCAGAAGCCAACCACGGUGACACCCCGAUCUCGGACUUUCAGCCUCCAGAGCCGUGAAAAGGAAAUUUCUGUUUUUACAAGCCACCCAGUCUGUGGUGUUCUGUUAGAGCAGCCCAAACGGACUAAGACAUCAAGUAAAACUAAUUUUGUCCUAAUACAUUUCUCAUAUCCCCUGAGGUCCCUGGAGAGGAUGUGGCAGAAGGCGAGGUUUGGGACCCACCAAAUCAGGUUUGAAAAUCACAUCUAAGCGAUACAGGGAGCUCAGCAACACGCAGCUAACGUUUGUUUGUGUCGUUUUUCAAGCAACAUUUUCCACUUAGGUUAAAAAGAAAAAAGACAGUUUCAUUGUAGAAAACUUGGAAGUUCUAAAAAGCACAAAGAGACAAAUAGAAUUAUUCAAAAUUCCAUCAUCUGCAUAUAAUUUUGCUUUUUCUCUAGGUAGGCGGGUGAUGAUUUGGGAUCCAGCAUUGAUCACUUAGUCUUGCACCUUUUUGUUGCUAUUUGUU